RNAcentral lists this ribosomal RNA (495 nucleotides) under uncultured bacterium. RNAcentral describes it as "partial 16S ribosomal RNA". It matches the Rfam family "Bacterial small subunit ribosomal RNA", at positions 28 to 507 of the family's 1533-position model. The record is from RNAcentral.
GACGAACGCUGGCGGCGUGCCUAAUACAUGCAAGUCGAACGCUGAAGGAGGAGCUUGCUCUUCUGGAUGAGUUGCGAACGGGUGAGUAACGCGUAGGUAACCUGCCUGGUAGCGGGGGAUAACUAUUGGAAACGAUAGCUAAUACCGCAUAACAGUAGAUGUUGCAUGACAUUUACUUAAAAGGUGCAAUUGCAUCACUACCAGAUGGACCUGCGUUGUAUUAGCUAGUUGGUGGGGUAACGGCUCACCAAGGCGACGAUACAUAGCCGACCUGAGAGGGUGAUCGGCCACACUGGGACUGGGACACGGCCCAGACUCCUACGGGAGGCAGCAGUAGGGAAUCUUCGGCAAUGGACGGAAGUCUGACCGAGCAACGCCGCGUGAGUGAAGAAGGUUUUCGGAUCGUAAAGCUCUGUUGUAAGAGAAGAACGAGUGUGAGAGUGGAAAGUUCACACUGUGACGGUAUCUUACCAGAAAGGGACGGCUAACUACGUG